Molecule: ribosomal RNA, 450 nt
Filed under: uncultured bacterium
Lineage: Bacteria
Description: partial 16S ribosomal RNA
Rfam family: Bacterial small subunit ribosomal RNA
Source: RNAcentral
GUGGGGAAUCUUCCACAAUGGACGAAAGUCUGAUGGAGCAACGCCGCGUGAGUGAAGAAGGGUUUCGGCUCGUAAAGCUCUGUUGUCGGGGACGAAUGUGCAGUAUUUGAAUAAAGUACUGUAAUGACGGUACCUGACGAGGAAGCCACGGCUAACUACGUGCCAGCAGCCGCGGUAAUACGUAGGUGGCAAGCGUUGUCCGGAAUUAUUGGGCGUAAAGGGAGCGCAGGCGGGAAGGUAAGUCGGUCUUAAAAGUGCGGGGCUCAACCCCGUGAUGGGAUCGAAACUAUCUUUCUUGAGUGCAGGAGAGGAAAGUGGAAUUCCUAGUGUAGCGGUGAAAUGCGUAGAUAUUAGGAGGAACACCAGUGGCGAAGGCGACUUUCUGGACUGUAACUGACGCUGAGGCUCGAAAGCCAGGGGAGCGAACGGGAUUAGAAACCCGAGUAGUCC